AUACGGAGGAUCCGAGCGUUAUCCGGAUUUAUUGGGUUUAAAGGGUGCGCAGGUGGCCAUUUAAGUCAGCGGUUAAAUCGUGGGGCUCAACCCCAUUCUGCUGUUGAUACUGGGUGGCUUGAUUGCGGUCGAGGUUGGCGGAAUUCGUUGUGUAGCGGUGAAAUGCAUAGAUAUGACGAAGAACACCGAUUGCGUAGGCAGCUGACCAGACCGCAAAUGACGCUCAUGCACGAAAGUGCGGGGAUCGAACAGGAUUAGAUACCCUGGUAGUCCGCACAGUAAACGAUGAAUACUUGUUUUCGGCGAUAUAAUGUCGGAGGCAAAGCGAAAGCGAUAAGUAUUCCACCUGGGGAGUACGCCGGCAACGGUGAAACUCAAAGGAAUUGGCGGGG
Molecule: ribosomal RNA, 392 nt
Filed under: uncultured bacterium
Lineage: Bacteria
Description: partial 16S ribosomal RNA
Rfam family: Bacterial small subunit ribosomal RNA
Source: RNAcentral